RNAcentral lists this non-coding RNA (71 nucleotides) under Paramoeba aestuarina. The record is from RNAcentral. Lineage: Eukaryota; Discosea; Flabellinia; Dactylopodida; Paramoebidae.
UUUUUCGAUUUUUCGAUUUUUUAUGUUUUUUCUGUUUUACUUAUUCUUUCACUUAACUUCCUCAUCAUUCA